GAUGAACGCUGGCGGCGGGCCUAACACAUGCAAGUCGAACGGAGUCCAGCCUUUAAUACCUUCGGGGCAAAGGGGGGACGACUGAGUGGCGGACGGGUGAGUAACACGUGGGCAACGUGGGUCAUAGAGGGGGAUAACAGAGAGAAAUCUCUGCUAAUACCACAUAAGCACACACUGCCGCAUGGGAGAGGGUGAAAAGAGAAUCGCGAUGAGAUGGAAGCGCGUCUGAUUGGCCAGUGGUCAGGGUAAGAGCGUCCCAAAGCGACGAUCAGUAGCCGAUCUGAGAGGCAGAACGGACACACCGGGACUGAGCCACGGCCCAAAAUCCUACGGGAGGCAGCAGAGGGGGAUAUUGCACAAUGGGGUGAACGCUGAUGCAGCGACGCCGCGUGAGUGCAGACGUCUUUCGGUAUGUAAAGCUCUAUCAGCAGGGAAGAUAAUGACAGUACCUGAAUAAGAAGCCCCGGCUAACUACGUG
This 478-nucleotide ribosomal RNA is filed under the name uncultured bacterium. RNAcentral describes it as "partial 16S ribosomal RNA". It matches the Rfam family "Bacterial small subunit ribosomal RNA", at positions 28 to 507 of the family's 1533-position model. The record is from RNAcentral.